This 892-nucleotide ribosomal RNA is filed under the name uncultured bacterium. Its description in RNAcentral is "bacterial SSU rRNA". It matches the Rfam family "Bacterial small subunit ribosomal RNA", at positions 8 to 916 of the family's 1533-position model. The record is from RNAcentral.
AGAGUUUGAUCAUGGCUCAUGACGAACGCUGGCGGCGUGCUUAACACAUGCAAGUCGAACGGAAAUAUUGGAGUAUUUAUAUGAAGAUAUUUUAGUGGCGGACGGGUGAGUAACGCGUGGGUAACCUGCCCUAUGGAGGGGGAUAACACACAGAAAUGUGUGCUAAUACCGCAUAAUGUAGUACUACCGCAUGGUGGAACUAUCAAAGAUUUAUUACCAUAGGAUGGACCCGCGGCCCAUUACCUAGUUGGUGAGGUAACGGCUCACCAAGGCGACGAUGGGUAGCCGGACUGAGAGGUCGAACGGCCACAUUGGAACUGAGACACGGUCCAGACUCCUACGGGAGGCAGCAGUGGGGAAUAUUGCACAAUGGAGGAAACUCUGAUGCAGCAACGCCGCGUGAGUGACGAAGGCCUUCGGGCUGUAAAACUCUGUCUUACCUGACGAUAAUGACGGUAAGCUAGGAGGAAGCCACGGCUAACUACGUGCCAGCAGCCGCGGUAAUACGUAGGUGGCGAGCGUUGUCCGGAAUUACUGGGCGUAAAGGGAGCGUACGCGGUUUUUUAAGUGGGAUGCGAAAUCCCCGGGCUUAACCUGUGAAUGGCAUUCCAAACUGGAAGACUAGAGUGCAGGAGAGGAAAGUGGAAUUCCAAGUGUAGCGGUGAAAUGCGUACAGAUUUGGAGGAACACUAGUGGCGAAGGCGACUUUCUGGACUGAUACUGACGCUGAGGCUCGACAGCGUGUGGAGCAAACAGGAUUAUAUACCCUGGUAGUCCACGCUGUAAACGAUGAAUACUACGUGUUGGGGCUAAGCCUCAGAGCCGCAUUUACACCUUAAGAUUCCGCCCUGGGGAGUACGACCGCAAGGUUGAAACUCAAAUGAAUUGACGG